UACGGAGGUGGCAGGCGUUACUCGGAUUGAUUGGGUGUAAAGGGCGUGUAGGCGGUGAAUUAAGUCGAAUGUGAAAUCCCUUGGCUUAACCAAGGAACUGCAUUCGAUACUGAUUUGCUUGAGUGAUGGAGAGGAAAGCGGAAUUCCCGGUGUAACAGUGAAAUGUGUAGAUAUCGGGAGGAACACCAGUGGCGAAGGCGGCUUUCUGGCCAUCUACUGACGCUGAAACGCGAGAGCUAGGGGAGCAAACAGG
Molecule: ribosomal RNA, 253 nt
Filed under: uncultured bacterium
Lineage: Bacteria
Description: partial 16S ribosomal RNA
Rfam family: Bacterial small subunit ribosomal RNA
Source: RNAcentral